RNAcentral lists this ribosomal RNA (758 nucleotides) under Methylobacterium sp. Aw08. RNAcentral's name for it is "bacterial SSU rRNA". It matches the Rfam family "Bacterial small subunit ribosomal RNA", at positions 633 to 1358 of the family's 1533-position model. The record is from RNAcentral. Lineage: Bacteria; Pseudomonadati; Pseudomonadota; Alphaproteobacteria; Hyphomicrobiales; Methylobacteriaceae.
CGGCUUGGAUUNUGUUUAGAAGGUUUGUGUGAACUGCCGGAGUUUAGAGGUGAAAUUCGUAAGAUAUUCGCAAGAACACCGGGUGUCUGAAGUCGGCCAACUGGACCAUUACUGACGCUGAGGCGUCGAAAGCGUGGGGAGCAAACAGGAUUAGAUACCCUGGUAGUCCACGCCGUAUAACGAUGAAUGCCANCUGUUGGGGUGCUUGCACCGCAGUAGCGCAGCUAACGCUUUGAGCAUUCCGCCUGGGGAGUACGUGUCGCAAGAUUAAAACUCAUAAGGAAUUGACGGGGGCCCGCACAAGUCGGUGGAGCAUGUGGUUUAAUUCGAAGCAACGCGCAGAACCUUACCAUCCUUUGACAUGGCGUGUUACCCAGAGAGAUCUGGGGUCCCCUUCGGGGGCGCGCACACAGGUGNCUGCAUGGCUGUCUGUCAGCUCGUGUCGUGAGAUGUUGGGUUAAGUCCCGCAACGAGCGCAACCCACGUCCUUAGUUGCCAUCAUUCAGUUGGGCACUNUAGGGAGACUGUCCGGUGAUAAGCCGCGAGGAAGGUGUGGAUGACGUCAAGUCCUCAUGGCCCUUACGGGAUGGGCUACACACGUGCUACAAUGGCGGUGACAGUGGGAGGCGAAGGAGCGAUCUGGAGCAAAUCCCCAAAAGUCCGUCUCAGUUCGGAUUGCACUCUGCAACUCGAGUGCAUGAAGCCCUGUAUCGACAUAUAAUGCGNGAUUCGAUGNACUGUCCUACCAGCUAUCAGCC